This 222-nucleotide unclassified non-coding RNA is filed under the name plant metagenome. RNAcentral describes it as "partial contains small subunit ribosomal RNA, internal transcribed spacer 1, and 5.8S ribosomal RNA". The record is from RNAcentral.
UCUCCGUAGGUGAACCUGCGGAGGGAUCAUUACCGCAUUCAUGCCCUCACGGGUAUAUCUCCCACCCAUUAUUAUUAUACUUUGUUGCUUUGGCAGGCCACCAGCGUGGACUACCGGCUCCAUCUGGUAAGUGCCUGACAGAGGAACCCAUACCUUGAAUAUUUUAUUGUCUGAGUACUAUCAAAUAGUUUAAAACUUUCAACAACGGAUCUCUUGGUUCUC